RNAcentral lists this ribosomal RNA (350 nucleotides) under uncultured bacterium. RNAcentral describes it as "bacterial SSU rRNA". It matches the Rfam family "Bacterial small subunit ribosomal RNA", at positions 1 to 334 of the family's 1533-position model. The record is from RNAcentral.
CUAUGCGCCUUGCCAGCCCGCUCAGUCAGAGUUUGAUCCUGGCUCAGGACGAACGCUGGCGGCGUGCUUAACACAUGCAAGUCGAACGGAAAGGCCCGCUUGCGGGUACUCGAGUGGCGAACGGGUGAGUAACACGUGGGCAACCUGCCCUCAGCUUUGGGAUAACUCCCGGAAACGGGUGCUAAUACCGAAUAUUGACAUUUCCUCGCAUGGGGGUUUGUUGAAAGUUUUUCGGCUGGGGAUGGGCCCGCGGCCUAUCAGCUUGUUGGUGGGGUGAUGCCUACCAAGGCGACGACGGGUAGCCGGCCUGAGAGGGCGAUCGGCCACACUGGAACUGAGACACGGUCCAG